Molecule: ribosomal RNA, 497 nt
Filed under: uncultured bacterium
Lineage: Bacteria
Description: partial 16S ribosomal RNA
Rfam family: Bacterial small subunit ribosomal RNA
Source: RNAcentral
GAUGAACGCUGGCGGCGUGCCUAAUACAUGCAAGUCGAGCGAACAGAUGAGGAGCUUGCUCCUCUGACGUUAGCGGCGGACGGGUGAGUAACACGUGGAUAACCUACCUAUAAGACUGGGAUAACUUCGGGAAACCGGAGCUAAUACCGGAUAAUAUAUUGAACCGCAUGGUUCAAUAGUGAAAGACGGUUUUGCUGUCACUUAUAGAUGGAUCCGCGCCGCAUUAGCUAGUUGGUAAGGUAACGGCUUACCAAGGCAACGAUGCGUAGCCGACCUGAGAGGGUGAUCGGCCAAACUGGAACUGAGGCACGGUCCAGACUCCUACGGGAGGCAGCAGUAGGGAAUCUUCCGCAAUGGGCGAAAGCCUGACGGAGCAACGCCGCGUGAGUGAUGAAGGUCUUCGGAUCGUAAAACUCUGUUAUUAGGGAAGAACAAAUGUGUAAGUAACUAUGCACGUCUUGACGGUACCUAAUCAGAAAGCCACGGCUAACUACGUG